RNA transcript from Passer domesticus (house sparrow), 2899 nucleotides. It is a transcript of the gene named heat shock protein 90 alpha family class B member 1, with no coding region annotated. The record is from RefSeq and is a predicted model, not a curated record. NCBI's taxonomy places the organism in Eukaryota, Metazoa, Chordata, Aves, Passeriformes, Passeridae. The transcript has 13 exons.
CCGGUGCCUCCCACACAGCAUCGAUCUGCGGCUCGCUGACCAAGACCCCUUUAAGGCGGAAGGAUACAAUGUGCCGUGAGGGGCUCCUCGUUCCGAGCCUAUAAAAGGCGGCCGGUGAGGGGCUGCAGCUCUCUCGCCGGUCCCUCACGCCCGAGACGAUGCCCGAGAAAGUGCAGCACGAGGAGGAAGAUGCGGAGACCUUCGCCUUCCAGGCGGAGAUCGCCCAGCUCAUGUCGCUCAUUAUCAACACCUUCUAUUCCAAUAAGGAGAUCUUCCUGCGGGAGCUCAUCUCCAACGCCUCCGACGCCCUGGAUAAGAUCCGCUAUGAGAGCCUGACCGAUCCCUCCAAGCUGGACAGUGGGAAAGACCUGAAAAUUGACAUCAUCCCCAACCCCCGGGACCGCACGCUGACCCUGGUGGACACUGGCAUUGGGAUGACAAAAGCAGACCUCAUCAACAACCUGGGCACCAUUGCCAAAUCUGGGACCAAAGCCUUCAUGGAAGCCCUGCAGGCUGGCGCAGACAUCUCCAUGAUCGGGCAGUUCGGUGUGGGUUUCUAUUCCGCCUAUCUGGUGGCUGAGAAGGUGGUGGUCAUUACCAAGCACAACGAUGACGAGCAGUAUGCUUGGGAGUCAUCAGCUGGGGGCUCGUUCACUGUGCGAACUGACCACGGUGAGCCCAUUGGACGUGGCACCAAAGUGAUCCUGUACUUGAAGGAGGACCAGACUGAGUACUUGGAGGAGCGUCGUGUGAAAGAGGUGGUGAAGAAGCACUCCCAGUUCAUUGGCUACCCCAUCACGCUCUAUCUGGAGAAAGAACGUGAGAAAGAGAUCAGUGAUGAUGAAGCAGAGGAGGAGAAAGAUGAGAAGGAGGAAGAGUCAGUGUCCAAAGAUGAAGAGAAACCCAAAAUCGAGGAUGUGGGCUCUGAUGAGGAGGAGGAGGGAGACAAAGGCAAGAAGAAAAAGACCAAGAAAAUCAAGGAGAAAUAUAUUGACCAGGAGGAGCUGAACAAGACCAAACCAAUUUGGACCCGCAAUCCUGAUGACAUCACCCAGGAGGAGUAUGGCGAGUUCUACAAGAGCCUCACCAAUGACUGGGAGGACCACUUGGCUGUCAAGCACUUCUCUGUGGAAGGGCAGCUGGAGUUCAGGGCCCUGCUUUUCAUCCCACGCCGUGCCCCUUUUGACCUCUUUGAGAACAAGAAGAAGAAGAAUAACAUUAAGCUGUAUGUGAGGCGGGUCUUCAUCAUGGACAGCUGUGACGAGCUCAUCCCUGAAUACCUGAACUUCAUCCGGGGUGUUGUGGACUCAGAGGACCUUCCUCUGAACAUUUCUCGUGAGAUGCUCCAGCAGAGCAAGAUCCUCAAAGUGAUCCGCAAAAACAUUGUGAAGAAAUGCUUGGAGCUCUUUUCUGAGCUGGCAGAAGACAAAGAGAACUACAAGAAAUUUUAUGAAGCUUUUUCCAAGAAUCUGAAGUUGGGCAUCCACGAGGACUCCACCAACCGAAAGCGCCUUUCGGAGCUGCUGCGGUACCACACGUCGCAGUCGGGCGAUGAGGUGACUUCGCUCUCCGAGUACGUGUCCCGUAUGAAGGAGAACCAGAAGAGCAUCUACUACAUCACAGGGGAGAGUAAGGAGCAGGUCGCUAACUCGGCCUUUGUGGAGCGCGUGCGGAAGCGUGGCUUUGAGGUGGUGUACAUGACAGAGCCCAUCGAUGAGUACUGCGUGCAGCAGCUCAAGGAGUUUGAUGGCAAGACCCUGGUAUCAGUCACCAAAGAGGGGCUGGAGCUGCCUGAAGAUGAGGAAGAGAAAAAAAAGAUGGAGGAGAGCAAGGCCAAGUUUGAGAACCUCUGCAAACUUAUGAAGGAAAUCCUGGACAAGAAGGUGGAGAAGAGGAGCCGCUAGAGGAGACUGGAGGUCCCAGCAUGCACCAUCUUGCUCUAAGCAGCCAGGCUGCAGGCGAGGGGCACUGACCCAAAUACGUGCAUUGAUGGGAGAGGGUCACCGUCUCAAACCGGCUGGUCUCGUCUCCCUGCUGCAUCGUCACCAGCACCUACGGCUGGACAGCCAACAUGGAGCGCAUCAUGAAGGCUCAGGCACUGCGGGACAACUCUACCAUGGGCUAUAUGAUGGCCAAGAAGCACCUGGAGAUCAACCCUGACCACCCAAUUGUAGAAACCCUUCGCCAGAAGGCUGAUGCUGACAAGAAUGACAAAGCUGUUAAAGAUCUGGUGGUGCUGCUCUUUGAGACUGCUCUGCUGUCCUCUGGUUUCUCCCUGGAAGAUCCCCAGACCCACUCCAACCGCAUCUACAGGAUGAUCAAACUUGGGCUUGGCAUAGAUGAAGAUGAGGUGGCUGCAGAGGAGUCCAGUGCAGCUGCCCCUGAGGAAAUCCCCCCUCUGGAGGGAGAUGAAGAUACAUCCCGCAUGGAAGAGGUAGACUAAAGGAGGAAGGCUCUUCCUUCACCUGCCAGACCUCUGCUCUAUCUAGAUGGUCUGCUCCCACCAGCUGCUACUGACUUCUUGGUGGUGUCUGUUCUUGUGGCUCUGUUUGGUUGGGCUUGUUUCUGGCAGGGUGCAGGAGGGCAUGAUUCCCUGUUUGUUAGUAGUGAUUCAGGUAGCCUGAGCCUGUCUGUUCUGUGUCUUUCUGCUUGUGUAGAAACAGCUGAUGGGGAGUGGAGGUGUGAGGAGGCAUCAGGCUUCCCCUCUCUCCCCUUCAUGGAGUGUCCCAUGUUACCAGUAGGCAUCAAACACUGUUCUUAUUCCAUUGGGGUGGGAGAGCCCUUGCUCCAAACUGCUGCCUCCCUGAAGCCCCAGGAUAGCAUAAUGUAUUUUGGUUGGGUUUUGUUUGAUUAUUUUUCUGGAAUUUUGUUCUACUGGAAUUAAAGAAUUGAUGAUUUA